This 373-nucleotide long non-coding RNA is filed under the name Anas platyrhynchos platyrhynchos (common mallard). RNAcentral's name for it is "lncRNA (ENSAPLG00000023174.1)". The record is from RNAcentral. Lineage: Eukaryota; Metazoa; Chordata; Aves; Anseriformes; Anatidae.
CUUUCUUGCUAUGCAUGAUAUAAACUUCUGCUUUGAAUAUUGCUUCCCAAGGUCUAAAGACUAUAUGUUUGUCAGUAUUGUUCUUAAGUUAAUCCUACACUGAGAACAUGUCCUAGAUUCCUUUAAGAUCUUCCAUUUUUUGUUUGCCUAGUAAGAAAAUCUCAGAAAUUGAUUUUUCUCCUUGGGUGUAGUGCAAACAUCAUUAUAAGGUUGUGCAUAUGGUAAAAAUAAAUGAAGAUGUCAGUGAAUUAUCCUGGACCCUAACAGAAGGCCUCUUAAGAGAAGAAAAGCUCUCAGGAAUGGAACAACUGAACUGAACAAAGACGGUCAAAUGGCUUAUGAAACAAUGGGAUAGACACUGGGAGGGCUAACC